This 383-nucleotide ribosomal RNA is filed under the name uncultured eukaryote. Its description in RNAcentral is "partial 18S ribosomal RNA". It matches the Rfam family "Eukaryotic small subunit ribosomal RNA", at positions 592 to 976 of the family's 1831-position model. The record is from RNAcentral.
CAAUAGCGUAUAUUAAAGUUGUUGCAGUUAAAAAGCUCGUAGUUGGAUUUCUGGUGGGAGCGAUCGGUCUGGCGCUUAGCGCGAGUACUUGCAUCGUCUCCGGCCAUCCUUGGGGAGAGUCUGUCUGGCAUUAGGUUGUCGGGCAGAGGAUCCUCAUCGUUUACUGUGAAAAAAUUAGAGUGUUCAAAGCAGGCUUAUGCCGUUGAAUAUAUUAGCAUGGAAUAAUAAGAUAGGACUUUGGUACUAUUUUGUUGGUUUGCGCACCAAAGUAAUGAUUAAUAGGGACAGUUGGGGGUAUUCGUAUUCCGUUGUCAGAGGUGAAAUUCUUGGAUUUACGGAAGACGAACUACUGCGAAAGCAUUUACCAAGGAUGUUUUCAUUGA